RNAcentral lists this ribosomal RNA (522 nucleotides) under uncultured Glomeromycotina. RNAcentral's name for it is "SSU rRNA". It matches the Rfam family "Eukaryotic small subunit ribosomal RNA", at positions 569 to 1092 of the family's 1831-position model. Lineage: Eukaryota; Fungi; Glomeromycota. The record is from RNAcentral.
AGCAGCCGCGGUAAUUCCAGCUCCAAUAGCGUAUAUUAAAGUUGUUGCAGUUAAAAAGCUCGUAGUUGAAUUUCGGGAUUAGUACGUUGGUCGUGCCUUAGGUACGUACUGGUGUUACUGGUUCCUACCUUCUGACGAACCAUCAUGUCAUUAAUUUGGUGUGGCGGGGAAUCAGGACUGUUACUUUGAAAAAAUUAGAGUGUUUAAAGCAGGCUAACGCCUGAAUACAUUAGCAUGGAAUAAUGAAAUAGGACGUUCGAUCCUAUUUUGUUGGUUUCUAGGAUUGACGUAAUGAUUAAUAGGGAUAGUUGGGGGCAUUAGUAUUCAAUUGUCAGAGGUGAAAUUCUUGGAUUUAUUGAAGACUAACUACUGCGAAAGCAUUUGCCAAGGAUGUUUUCAUUAAUCAAGAACGAAAGUUAGGGGAUCGAAGACGAUCAGAUACCGUCGUAGUCUUAACCAUAAACUAUGCCGACUAGGGAUCGGAUGAUGUUAAUUUUUUAAUGACUCAUUCGGCGCCUUACG